Molecule: transfer RNA, 362 nt
Filed under: uncultured Microcystis sp.
Lineage: Bacteria; Bacillati; Cyanobacteriota; Cyanophyceae; Chroococcales; Microcystaceae
Description: partial 16S-23S ribosomal RNA intergenic spacer
Rfam family: tRNA (bases 133-206)
Source: RNAcentral
AAAGGGAGACCUAAUUCAGGUAGGAGACGAAAAAAAGUAGUCCCAACCAAGAAUCAAUCCCAAAAGGUCGGAGCGAGGUAUGAGGCUUUCAAACUAGGUUCUGGGUUCAUAAAAGACCUGAAUCAGGAACAAGGGCUAUUAGCUCAGGUGGUUAGAGCGCACCCCUGAUAAGGGUGAGGUCCCUGGUUCGAGUCCAGGAUGGCCCACCUGCACAGGUGGCAAAAACAAAGAAAAGAAGCUCCGAAUCAGCACCUUAUCUUACUUAUAUAGUAAGAGAGAAUGCUGGCUCUGAGUUCAGAGUCCAGAGGAACCUUGAAAACUGCAUAGAGCUAGGUGAAAAAGCCAAAAAAGAAGACCGCAAG